UACGGAGGGUGCAAGCGUUGCUCGGAAUUAUUGGGCGUAAAGAGCUCGUAGGCGGUCUGUCACGUCGGCUGUGAAAUCCCGAGGCUCAACCUCGGGUCUGCAGUCGAUACGGGCAAACUAGAGUAUUGCAGGGGAGACUGGAAUUCCUGGUGUAGCGGUGAAAUGCGCAGAUAUCAGGAGGAACACCGGUGGCGAAGGCGGGUCUCUGGGCAAUAACUGACGCUGAGGAGCGAAAGCGUGGGGAGCGAACAGG
This 253-nucleotide ribosomal RNA is filed under the name uncultured bacterium. RNAcentral's name for it is "partial 16S ribosomal RNA". It matches the Rfam family "Bacterial small subunit ribosomal RNA", at positions 524 to 776 of the family's 1533-position model. The record is from RNAcentral.